This is a long non-coding RNA of Felis catus (domestic cat), 912 nucleotides long. RefSeq lists it as uncharacterized. The transcript is spliced from 6 exons. The record is from RefSeq and is a predicted model, not a curated record. Lineage: Eukaryota; Metazoa; Chordata; Mammalia; Carnivora; Felidae.
UGCCAAUUAUGGGGGCAGAAAAGAAGAAAGAGUAAAAAUUAUACAAAUGUUCUGGUAAUUAUUUUUAAAAUUUCAUAAUGAAAUAAGAGUGUCUAGAUAAAUGACAGCCAAGAAUCAAACCUAGCAACAAAUAUUUUGUCUUUCUGCUUUGCAUUUUACCCAAUACACUUAUGUAGAAGCAAUGUAUCUUUUCUUAUUGUUUAUUUAAAACAAGCGUAUUAUUGUGUACAAGAGUAUGGGAAUGACAUACCUAGGGAGAAGUGGGCAGGCUAGGGAGACAAAUGCAGGACUUUGGGGUUUGAGUUUGGUUUCUAUAAGGAGAACUUUCUAUAGCAAAUGCUUGAUGGUACUAUCAAAAUGUUUUUGGCAGAACAAUAUCGAGAAAACCCACUGGCCUCUGAGGACAAGAAAGAGUGAUUUCAUAGUGACGUUGCGUCUUGGGGCUGCUGUUUGGGUCCAAUAGCCAGUGCACUUUCAGGGUGAAGAACUGUGUGCUAUUGAAGAUUCUCUCCUAUUUCUUCAAAAGGCCCAUGCUCAUCAAGAGGCUAGGGAGAGGAGUGUGGAUUCAGGAACCCGAGUUAUCGAAAGCCCAUGUACUGGGUACUACAUUGUACAGAAACCCCAAGAAGAGUGAGCAGCAAGUUAAACAUCUUUUACUAAGGGCUGUCUUUCUUUUAACUAUCUUUCUAUAUCCUGGAGCUCGUUGGUCUUACUGUGGCAUUCUUCUGCAAAGGUAGUCUGAUUUCAUUAAGUGAGAGAGUGACAGGAUGUUUCCUGAGACGUGUUUUGCCAAUAGGAAUACAGCAUACAAUGCAUAAGUUUCCUGAUAUGGCUUUGGUGUCCAUGUUAUGCUGUCUUAAGGGAAGGGUGACACAGAUUUUUGAAAAACCAAGCAAGAUCACAUAUUUGAAG